Molecule: long non-coding RNA, 270 nt
Filed under: Setaria viridis
Lineage: Eukaryota; Viridiplantae; Streptophyta; Magnoliopsida; Poales; Poaceae
Description: long non-coding RNA (SVIR_LNC008865)
Source: RNAcentral
UGGGUUUAGGGUUUGAGUCGGGCAGCAUCCCGACUGGGUUUUGGAAUAUGCUUUGGGUAAUAUUAGAUCCUGGGUGGUGGUAGUGGAUUUCAAGGUUUAAGGAAACUUGUACGACAAGCUCAGCUUCGACCCUAAUACGGGUGGAGCUGGCCAAGUUUCCUUUGGACUAGAACUUAAGAGCUUGCUCUAGGCAAGAUCAAGUGCAUGCAUGGCAGUGAUAGGGGUUAGCGGCGAUGAUAGGGCAGCAAGGAACAACUGGCUGGGUGCUGG